This 512-nucleotide ribosomal RNA is filed under the name uncultured bacterium. Its description in RNAcentral is "partial 16S ribosomal RNA". The record is from RNAcentral.
GGAGUUAGCCGGUGCUUCUUCUGCGAGUAACGUCACAGAUGUAAGGUAUUAACUUACACCCUUUCCUCCUCGCUGAAAGUGCUUUACAACCCGAAGGCCUUCUUCACACACGCGGCAUGGCUGCAUCAGGGUUUCCCCCAUUGUGCAAUAUUCCCCACUGCUGCCUCCCGUAGGAGUCUGGGCCGUGUCUCAGUCCCAGUGUGGCUGAUCAUCCUCUCAGACCAGCUAGGGAUCGUCGCCUAGGUGAGCCUUUACCUCACCUACUAGCUAAUCCCACCUGGGCUUAUCCAUCAGCGCAAGGCCCGAAGGUCCCCUGCUUUCCCCCGUAGGGCGUAUGCGGUAUUAGCAGUCGUUUACAACUGUUAUCCCCCACAAAUGGGCAAAUUCCCAGGCAUUACUCACCCGUCCGCCGCUCGUCAUCUUCAAAAGCAAGCUUUUGAAAUGUUACCGCUCGACUUGCAUGUGUUAGGCCUGCCGCCAGCGUUCAAUCUGAGCCAGAAUCAAACCUCUGA